RNAcentral lists this ribosomal RNA (496 nucleotides) under uncultured bacterium. RNAcentral describes it as "partial 16S ribosomal RNA". It matches the Rfam family "Bacterial small subunit ribosomal RNA", at positions 29 to 507 of the family's 1533-position model. The record is from RNAcentral.
AUGAACGCUGGCGGCGUGCCUAAUACAUGCAAGUCGAGCGAACAGACGAGGAGCUUGCUCCUCUGACGUUAGCGGCGGACGGGUGAGUAACACGUGGAUAACCUACCUAUAAGACUGGGAUAACUUCGGGAAACCGGAGCUAAUACCGGAUAAUAUAUUGAACCGCAUGGUUCAAUAGUGAAAGACGGUUUUGCUGUCACUUAUAGAUGGAUCCGCGCCGCAUUAGCUAGUUGGUAAGGUAACGGCUUACCAAGGCAACGAUGCGUAGCCGACCUGAGAGGGUGAUCGGCCACACUGGAACUGAGACACGGUCCAGACUCCUACGGGAGGCAGCAGUAGGGAAUCUUCCGCAGUGGGCGAAAGCCUGACGGAGCAACGCCGCGUGAGUGAUGAAGGUCUUCGGAUCGUAAAACUCUGUUAUUAGGGAAGAACAAAUGUGUAAGUAACUAUGCACGUCUUGACGGUACCUAAUCAGAAAGCCACGGCUAACUACGUG